GAUGAAGAACGUAGCGAAAUGCGAUACUUGGUGUGAAUUGCAGAAUCCCGUGAACCAUCGAGUCUUUGAACGCAAGUUGCGCCCGAAGCCAUUAGGCCGAGGGCACGCCUGCCUGGGCGUCACACGUCGUUGCCCCCCCAUCUACUCCUUCGGGAUUGCGGGGGGCGGAUGAUGGCCUCUCGUGCGCCUCGUCGCGCGGUUGGCCUAAAUGCCAAGUCCUCGGCGACGCACGCCACGACAAUCGGUGGUUGCGAAACCUCGGUUGCCUGUCAUGUGCGGUCGUCGCGCAUCGAGGGCUCGAAAAAAUUGCCGGGCUUCGGCUCGACUUUCAACGCGACCCCAGGUCAGGCGGGGUUACCCGCUGAAUUUAAGCAUAUCAAUAAGCGGAGGA
Molecule: unclassified non-coding RNA, 391 nt
Filed under: soil metagenome
Description: partial contains 5.8S ribosomal RNA, internal transcribed spacer 2, and large subunit ribosomal RNA
Rfam family: 5.8S ribosomal RNA (bases 1-122)
Source: RNAcentral